RNAcentral lists this ribosomal RNA (498 nucleotides) under uncultured bacterium. RNAcentral describes it as "bacterial SSU rRNA". It matches the Rfam family "Bacterial small subunit ribosomal RNA", at positions 12 to 518 of the family's 1533-position model. The record is from RNAcentral.
UUCGAUUCUGGCUCAGGAUGAACGCUGGCGGCGUGCUUAACACAUGCAAGUCGAACGGAGUAUAUUUAAAAGCUUGCUUUGUUUAUACUUAGUGGCGGACGGGUGGGUAACGCGUGGGUAACCUGCCUUAUACCGGGGGACAACAGUUGGAAACGACUGCUAAUACCGCAUAAGCGCACGAUGAGGCAUCUCGUUGUGUGAAAAAACUCCGGUGGUAUAAGAUGGACCCGCGUCUGAUUAGCCAGUUGGCGGUGUAACGGACCACCAAAGCGACGAUCAGUAGCCGGCCUGAGAGGGCAAACGGCCACAUUGGGACUGAGACACGGCCCAAACUCCUACGGGAGGCAGCAGUGGGGAAUAUUGCACAAUGGAGGAAACUCUGAUGCAGCCGACGCCGCGUGAGUGAAGAAGUAUUUCGGUAUGUAAAGCUCUAUCAGCAGGAAAGAAAAUGACGGUACCUGACUAAGAAGCCCCGGCUAACUACGUGCCAGCAGCAGC